This 254-nucleotide ribosomal RNA is filed under the name uncultured bacterium. RNAcentral describes it as "partial 16S ribosomal RNA". It matches the Rfam family "Bacterial small subunit ribosomal RNA", at positions 524 to 776 of the family's 1533-position model. The record is from RNAcentral.
UACGUAGGGACCGAGCGUUGUCCGGAAUCAUUGGGCGUAAAGAGCGUGUAGGCGGCCACUUAAGUCCUGCGUGAAAUCUUGCGGCUCAACCGCAAGCGGUCGUGGGAAACUGGGUGGCUAGAGUGCGGGAGAGGAGAGUGGAAUUCCUGGUGUAGCGGUGGAAUGCGCAGAUAGUCAGGAAGAACACCCGUGGCGAAGGCGGCUCUCUGGAGCGCAACUGACGCUGAGACGCGAAAGCGUGGGGAGCAAACAGG